RNAcentral lists this ribosomal RNA (750 nucleotides) under uncultured bacterium. Its description in RNAcentral is "bacterial SSU rRNA". It matches the Rfam family "Bacterial small subunit ribosomal RNA", at positions 28 to 776 of the family's 1533-position model. The record is from RNAcentral.
GAUGAACGCUGGCUGUGUGCCUAAUACAUGCAUGUCGAGCGAAGCACUUUUGUGCUUAGCGGCGAAUGGGUGAGUAACACGUACUUAACCUACCCUCAAGAUUGGGACAACACUUGGAAACGAGUGCUAAUACCAAAUACGUAUUUUUAUCGCAUGAUAGAUAUAUAAAAGGAGCUUCGGCUUCACUAGAGGAUGGGAGUGCGCUACAUUAGUUAGUUGGUAGGGUAAUGGCCUACCAAGACUAUGAUGUAUAGCGGGGCCGAGAGGCUGAUCCGCCACACUGGGACUGAGAUACGGCCCAGACUCCUACGGGAGGCAGCAGUAGGGAAUUUUCCACAAUGAACGAAAGUUUGAUGGAGCGACACAGCGUGCAGGAUGAAGGUCUUCGGAUUGUAAACUGCUGUUAUAAGAGAAGAAAAACCCUGGUAGGUAAUGACCAGGACUUGACGGUACCUUAUCAGAAAGCGACGGCUAACUAUGUGCCAGCAGCCGCGGUAAUACAUAGGUCGCAAGCGUUAUCCGGAAUUAUUGGGCGUAAAGAGUCCGUAGGUGGUUUUGUAAGUCUGAAGUUAAAUACCGGGGCUCAACCCCGGCCCGCUUUGGAUACUGCAAAACUAGAGUAAUAGAGAGGUUAGUGGAACUCCAAGUGAAGCGGUGGAAUGCGUAGAUAUUUGGAAGAACACCAAUGGCGAAGGCAACUAACUGGAUAUUAACUGACACUGAGGAACGAAAGCGUGGGUAGCAAACAGG